GAUGAACGCUGGCGGCGUGCCUAAUACAUGCAAGUAGAACGCUGAAGGAGGAGCUUGCUCUUCUGGAUGAGUUGCGAACGGGUGAGUAACGCGUAGGUAACCUGCCUGGUAGCGGGGGAUAACUAUUGGAAACGAUAGCUAAUACCGCAUGACAACAGUUAUUGCAUGAUAACUGUUUAAAAGGGGCAACUGCUCCACUACCAGAUGGACCUGCGUUGUAUUAGCUAGUUGGUGAGGUAACGGCUCACCAAGGCGACGAUACAUAGCCGACCUGAGAGGGUGAUCGGCCACACUGGGACUGAGACACGGCCCAGACUCCUACGGGAGGCAGCAGUAGGGAAUCUUCGGCAAUGGACGGAAGUCUGACCGGGCAACGCCGCGUGAGUGAAGAAGGUUUUCGGAUCGUAAAGCUCUGUUGUAAGAGAAGAACGAGUGUGAGAGUGGAAAGUUCACACUGUGACGGUAUCUUACCAGAAAGGGACGGCUAACUACGUG
Molecule: ribosomal RNA, 495 nt
Filed under: uncultured bacterium
Lineage: Bacteria
Description: partial 16S ribosomal RNA
Rfam family: Bacterial small subunit ribosomal RNA
Source: RNAcentral